GUGAACUUGGGCAAGUGACCUAAUCCUCUGCGUUUCAUCUCUAAAUUGGGGAGAAUAGAAGCAUCUAUUUCAUGUAGUAGCCAGGAUUAGAAGAGAUGGGGCCACUUGAGGGAAAAGACCUACCCAAGGGCACAUAAUCUGUACAUGAGAGAGAGCCAGAUGUAACAGACUGAGUACUGGACUUGGGGUUAAACAGAGUGUGAAUCCUUCCACCCCAUUGGCAAGUUACCUUGGACAAGUUACUUUAAUCUCCCUGAGCCUCAAUCUGCUCAUCUUUAAGAUGGAAGUCUUAAUAAUCUCCUCAUAGGGGAUUAAACAAGAACAUGAACGCACCUUUUCUAACACAGUGUCUGAGAUGAAUAGAUGUUCAAAAUAGGGGUUCAUUUGCUUCUUUGCUCUUUGGCUCCCACCUUUUUUUCAACUGCCCCAAAUCUCUUUCUGCUCACCUUUUCUUGUUCCAUGGGGUCUUUACACCACCAUGUUAGCAUGUGUUUCUGCUACAUGGUUAUUUCUCUUUUAGAAGCAAGUGAGUGAAGGGAGGGCCCAGUGGGCAGCUCAGAACUCAGUAAUAAAACCAUACAGAAUCCAUCUCAAA
This 595-nucleotide long non-coding RNA is filed under the name Pongo abelii (Sumatran orangutan). RNAcentral describes it as "lincRNA". The record is from RNAcentral. Lineage: Eukaryota; Metazoa; Chordata; Mammalia; Primates; Hominidae.